RNAcentral lists this ribosomal RNA (469 nucleotides) under Boophis madagascariensis (Madagascar bright-eyed frog). RNAcentral's name for it is "partial 16S ribosomal RNA". It matches the Rfam family "Bacterial large subunit ribosomal RNA", at positions 1962 to 2597 of the family's 2925-position model. The record is from RNAcentral. Lineage: Eukaryota; Metazoa; Chordata; Amphibia; Anura; Mantellidae.
UAAUCACUUGUUCUUUAAAUGAGGACUCGUAUCAACGGCAUCACGAGGAUCCUACUGUCUCCCCCCUCUAAUCGGUGAAACUGAUCUCUCCGUGAAGAAGCGGAGAUGUACAUAUAAGACGAGAAGACCCCAUGGAGCUUUAAACCCAACAACACCCGCCCCCCUCCAAAUCCUAUUAUUUACCCGGUGAUUGUUUGUUUGGUUUUAGGUUGGGGUGACCGCGGAGUAUAAGAUAUCCUCCAUGAAAAAAGCUAACUGCCCUUAUUAGAGAAAGACACUUCCAAAAAAUAAUAAAUUAAUUUUAAAUGAUCCGACAUUCGAUCAACGAACCAAGUUACCCUGGGGAUAACAGCGCAAUCCGUCCCGAGAGCCCCUAUCGACAGGCGGGUUUACGACCUCGAUGUUGGAUCAGGGUAUCCCAGUGGUGCAGCAGCUACUAAAGGUUCGUUUGUUCAACGAUUAAAACCCU